This 497-nucleotide ribosomal RNA is filed under the name uncultured bacterium. RNAcentral's name for it is "partial 16S ribosomal RNA". It matches the Rfam family "Bacterial small subunit ribosomal RNA", at positions 28 to 507 of the family's 1533-position model. The record is from RNAcentral.
GAUGAACGCUGGCGGCGUGCCUAGUACAUGCAAGUCGAGCGGACAGACGAGGAGCUUGCUCCUCUGACGUUAGCGGCGGACGGGUGAGUAACACGUGGAUAACCUACCUAUAAGACUGGGAUAACUUCGGGAAACCGGAGCUAAUACCGGAUAAUAUAUUGAACCGCAUGGUUCAAUAGUGAAAGACGGUUUUGCUGUCACUUAUAGAUGGAUCCGCGCCGCAUUAGCUAGUUGGUAAGGUAACGGCUUACCAAGGCAACGAUGCGUAGCCGACCUGAGAGGGUGAUCGGCCACACUGGAACUGAGACACGGUCCAGACUCCUACGGGAGGCAGCAGUAGGGAAUCUUCCGCAAUGGGCGAAAGCCUGACGGAGCAACGCCGCGUGAGUGAUGAAGGUCUUCGGAUCGUAAAACUCUGUUAUUAGGGAAGAACAAAUGUGUAAGUAACUAUGCACGUCUUGACGGUACCUAAUCAGAAAGCCACGGCUAACUACGUG